This 341-nucleotide long non-coding RNA is filed under the name Solanum tuberosum (potato). Its description in RNAcentral is "long non-coding RNA (STUB_LNC008983)". The record is from RNAcentral. Lineage: Eukaryota; Viridiplantae; Streptophyta; Magnoliopsida; Solanales; Solanaceae.
GCAGAUUCAUUGCGAAUGAAACAACAUGAAAGAUAACAAAGGGAAGACAUUAAGAUUGUUAACAGCAAGGUUUAGAGAUGCAAAGUACUAACAAGCGGACUAAGGUCCUGUUAAGAGCGGGAGGUACGAAUGAGCAAAUAAAAUGGUAAAACGAUCAACUCAUGUGACUUACAUGGAUUUAAGCAACACGAAGAGAAAACAACAUGUGUACGUAUAUAUAUCAGAAGAUCGAAAUCAUCUAUAGAAGAUGACUUCAAUUUUCGAGAUUGAACCAUAACUUUCACAGCCUAUCAAUCGAGAUAAUAGCGAAAUAAGCAUAUUAUAACGAUGAGAACAUUAAC